UGAAGGAAACAUUAUUUAGUGGUGUGCAAAACUAAGAGGGAUUUAAUUUCAUUUGCUGAUCUAACGUGUUGGUCUGCUUUCCAGUGACUGCAGUGUAUAAGUGGUGAAUUCUUGUUAAUGGCUGGCUGAAACAAUUUCCCAAAGUCUUAGCACGAGUGCUGUGCAGUUUUUCCCCCCAACAGCUAUUGGUAAAUGGUGCGAGGAAAGGAUUACCCUCUUAUAAAAAUUCUCCCGGUCUCGUAGUAGGACAGGCUGUCCUAUUCCUGUUCAUCACAAGCUGGUGAUCGUCCCGCUGCACUCAGCCCUGGGGAGGCUGCAGUGCUGUGCUCAGCUCUGGGCCCCUCACUACAAGACCAGACACCGAGGCCCUGCAGUGUGUCCAGAGAAGGGCAUGGAGCUGUGAGGGGUCUGUAGUGGAAGUUGCAUGAGGAGCAGCUGAGGAAAUGGGUUCAGUCUGGAGAAGAGGAGGCUCAGGGGAGACCUUAUUGCUCUCUGCACCUCCCUGGAAAGAGGCUGUGUGGAGGCAGGAGUCGACCUCUGCUCCCAGGUGUGGAAGCCACCAGCAAAGUAGGUGUCAUCCUUCUUAGCUAUUAACUGUAAUAACGCACCCGUUCCUAAAAGCCUUAAAUUGAAUAAUCUGGCAAAUGGUGAUGGAUGAUUUCGGUGUUUCUAAAGCAGCUCUUUCCCAUUCAGCUGAGGUCAAAGCCCUUAGAGGAGGGGAUGAAAUGCACCGCGUGUGACCGUGCUGCUCAGCCUCUUCUUUGCAUGUCCUGGGGCCUCCGAGCUGCUGAUCGGGCAUCUCUCAUGAAGGCAGUGAUCACAGCACCCUGAUGUGGUGGUUUAUUUCUCCGACAUGAGCACCUUCUAGCAGGGCUUCUCUGCUGAAUGCUAUUAGGAAACGCCAAUUUCCAACCGGAUCUGCACAUCUGGGGAUACGUGAUUUAGGCAUUGGCCGGACUUGCAUUACUGAUGGAAUUGGAUGGAUGUGAAAGCUGUAAAAUGGCCACUUGAGCAAAGAUGGUCCACGUUUUUCAGAUGACUCUUACUCCUGCUAAGGCGUGGAAGAUGCUCACACGCUGCUCACGCAGUGCCACCCCCUGCCCAGUGCUGCUUCCUAACAGAACUGACGUUUUUCUGCCUGAAAGGUCCCAGUAACCGACGUGGUUAAACCAAGUGGCAAAAGUACUUGAUAUGAGCCAUAUGAUCUCGUGCUACCUUAUAAUAAGACUAAAAAAAACACUCCCUAGGAACUACUUAAGGAGUGGAUUAAAACACAAACCCAGUAGCUGAUGUAUGCCUCGGUGGAAAGGAAAGGUGCGAUGCCCCGCACGGGGCUUCCAGCGGGGCGGGGCCGG
Molecule: long non-coding RNA, 1355 nt
Organism: Gallus gallus (chicken)
Lineage: Eukaryota; Metazoa; Chordata; Aves; Galliformes; Phasianidae
Source: Ensembl